CCAAAGAAUUUAGUUACACUUGGCACACUUAAGGUGACGUAACGUUCGUGUUCUACUUACCCUCUCCCGCUGUGGAAAGUUAUGAAACAUGGCUUCCGGUUCAAUAUUGUAGUUCACUGAUUUAAGCAGAAAGCGCGCAAAACAAGACAUGGCGGAUAAUACAAACGAUAUUUCGAGAAGGCUGACAGAAGCGAUAGGAAGGGUAACCACGCAAACUUUGGAUACAAUAGAGGCAUCAAUGGCUGAUGACAUCUCAAGCCAAAACAGUUCUAAUGCUAGUUUUAUUACAAUCCAGCCUGUCCAGCAAACGUUGCUUUGAAGUUUGAAGAAUGUCGAGCAAUUGAUUUUCGCAACUGGAGAGAAUUUAAAGAAGGAAAUACAGAAGAAUUUGCAUAAAAGGAUUAAAUAUACAGGCUGGCAAUACUAAAUUGUAAAUCUUUUUUGUACAAAACGGGCUUAAAACAUUUGUUAUUUAAAACGGCUCGCUAUACUUCAUUUACCUUUUCGUCAUGAUUAUUUUCAGAACAUAAAGCAAUAUAUAUUUCUUGUUCGAUCUGUUAGUUAAGUUUGAUUACUAAAAAAUUUCUUUAGGAUUUAAAUGUAUUAAAUUCUUAUUCCAUACAUAACGUACAAGAUCACCUUUUAAACAGCUAAAAUAUUGACUACAAUCAUUUAUUAAAAUGAUCCAUCAUGGUGGUUAUGACGUAACUAGCAGACCAUGCUGAGGAAUGGGAAAAAAGUUUUUCAAAAAAGGAUAGCAACAAGAAUUGACGGGGAGGUGAAAGAAUUCGCCACAUAUCUUGUGUACUCCUGCUUUAUGGACGGUGAAAGCUUUUCAUUGGUCAACAAGAUUGUCAAAACGGUAGUCAACAUCAACACUGAUCAACAGUCCUUCUCAGGACUUUAAUAAAACGCACACGAUCUACAUCUACUAACAUGCUGGUUCUCAGAAAGUCGUCCGAGGAGUUUGAGUCGUCUUAAAUGAGCCAUUUCACUCGCGUUGAUAAAGCACCAUCCAAUGAGCUUGCGUUCUAGAGGUGACUGAAAUGAGUGAAUCUACUAUUUGCGAAUCACGCUUUAAUUUUCUAAUUUUGUUCGAGCUGUGCAAGCAAUGUGAGGAUGUUGUCAACAAAAUAAAAAAUAGCAAAUUUUGUGCGCUUGUGUUUGAACCUUAAAUUUCGUGCAAAGUCAAUAAAGAAUUACAAAAGAAUUGGAUCUUCGUGUUUUUGUCAUUAAAAAAACACCCUAACAACUAUAUUUUUAAUGGCAAGAUUUUAUACUAUGUGCAUUUAUUAAUUUGAGAUGAAACGUGAGAUAUAGAGAUAUAUUAAAAUGAGAUUAAUAUAUUUCGUGUUGUCUA
Molecule: long non-coding RNA, 1360 nt
Organism: Xenia sp. Carnegie-2017
Lineage: Eukaryota; Metazoa; Cnidaria; Anthozoa; Malacalcyonacea; Xeniidae
Exons: 4
Source: RefSeq, a predicted model, not a curated record